UCAUUCUAGGUCUUUCUCAUACUGCACAGCGGAGGCACCCGGACUCGAAUGACGUUUCCGAACGCAGCCUUGAUGUUUAGCUGUUCAUAACUCUAAACAUUUAACGCGAUUGAAGAUGAAACGAGAUAAAAUUCACCUUCGCUACUGCAUGCUUUAUUUCUUUAAUCGAGGUGAAACUGUUGAAACGACUAAGAGAUUGAUUUGUGAGACCUAUGGAACAAAUGCUGUAUCCACUGCUGCCUGUGCCAAAUGGUUCAAAAAGUUUAAAAACGGUGAUUACAAUGUCAACGAUAAGCCACGUUCUAGUCCUCCGAGCGAGAUGGAGAAUAACAAACUGGAGGUAUCGGUCAAUGAAAACUCGACCCAUUAACAUCAAAGGAGCUUGCGAGGCGACCUGAAGUUGACUAAUCAACUGUAUCAUCAUCACAACAGCUUCAGUAUCAACAUCUGAAAACAAUGGGAAAGAUUCAGAAGAAUUCAGAAGAGAAUAGCUUUCCCGUUAACUCUGUGCAAAGGCGAUUGUGAAUCAGUUUGCCAUUUGUUGCUCCUUGCUUGCUAGGAGGCACAAAAAACUUUUUGUGGCGAAUAGUUAUAGACAACAAGAGAUAUCCACAAGAUGCAACAUCUACAAUCAUAAGGUUUUCCUGUGUAUCUAAUGGGACUACGAAGGAAUGCUUCACUAUAAGCUAUUACUACCAAGGGAAAAAUGUUUUCAAAUAGCCACAAAUCGGCACAGAGUUAUUCUGCUUCAUGACAAUGUCAAGUCACAUGUUGUAAUUGAAGAAAUAGAGUUAGAUUGGCAAGUCCUGCCACAACUAAUGUAUCUUUCAGACAUCUCUGUCCGAUUUUCAUCUAUUUAGACCGAUACAGUGCAAUCUAUCUGAUGUAUAGUUGCAAAAUGUUGAGACAAUGUGAAUGAAUCGAUGAAUAAAUUGUAAAAAAAAGUAAUUUAACCCUGAAAAAAGUAAUUUUACCAGUAGAGUAUCAAUGGUAACAACCAAUAUUUUGGUCAAAAUAUUGUCAUCUCGUUGUUAUUAAUAAAUAAAGAUGGCUUUGACAUACAAAUUUUUUGCAAGCACCUAAUAUGUUUGUGGAAAUUACAACUUCUUGAAUUUUGCUUCUUCUCAUCGAGCAAAGGUAUUUUUUCUUUGUACAAUGUGAUAUUUAUGCAUAUAUUUCUUGAUAUUCAAUUUUACUCGAUCGAGCUGGUUUCCACUUGGAAGACAUCACAGGGAAAGUAUAAAUACUUCAACUUUCUAACUUCUUAUAAAUUUUUAUUUCGAUAAAUUUACAUAUAUUAAUGUAUGCACACUUUUAAUCAAAAACAUUUUAGCGAUGUAAUACAAUGCAUGAGUAAACCAUGAAGAAAAGAUCUUCCAAAAUUAUACAAUUUACAAAAGUAGAAAAUCUAUUAGGAAUUUCUUACAGUCACAGUCAAGAUAUUGGGUGGAUACUAGGCUAGUUUGUAAAUAGCACCAGUAUUCUUAAUGCUGUGUAGCAUUGAACAUUCAAUAUGAUAGGCUUGUAAAAUAUAUGUAUCAACAAUUUGUAUAACUCCUCCCGCGCAUUUUAGAUGCAGAUUUAAACUUUCUGUGAAGAUCAAACUUAUGCUUUAACAUACUUAUUAGGCUCCUAUCACAAAUUUAUAAUGUAUAAAUUCGUUUUAACCUUUUAUGUUUUAAACCUUAUCUUUUAACCUUAUGUUUUAAAAUGAUGCUAAUUUACUGAUAAUAAAAGAUAUACAUACACA
This is a long non-coding RNA of Harpegnathos saltator (Jerdon's jumping ant), 1750 nucleotides long. RefSeq lists it as uncharacterized. The transcript has 2 exons. NCBI's taxonomy places the organism in Eukaryota, Metazoa, Arthropoda, Insecta, Hymenoptera, Formicidae. The record is from RefSeq and is a predicted model, not a curated record.